Long non-coding RNA from Macadamia integrifolia, 575 nucleotides. RefSeq lists it as uncharacterized. NCBI's taxonomy places the organism in Eukaryota, Viridiplantae, Streptophyta, Magnoliopsida, Proteales, Proteaceae. The transcript has 2 exons. The record is from RefSeq and is a predicted model, not a curated record.
CGUGGGGAAUAUUCUCUUCAUGCGGUUAACGCGAUCAGACUCCUUGCAGCCUCUAACAGCUACUAUGACCUGAAGCAUCUAAGUGAAAGGGCUACCACUAGGAAUCUGAUGCCGGUAGAUUUUAAAGCCGAAAGCAAGAACAAGAAUCCAAGCAUAAUAAUGGCUACGCAUAGAGCGAAACCAAGGUCCCAUCCUUUAUAGUUCUGGAACUACACUAUGGAGACUAGCCCUAUCAUUCCUCCAAUGGAAAUGCCAAGAGUGUACCAAUUGAAGAAGCUAGACUUGCGCCGAAGCUCAGUUUUUUCUUCAUCAAACUGGUCUCCACCAAAGGAUGGAAGGUUUGCUCGCAUAAACCCUUCACCCAAGGUUACAGUAGACAAUGCUAUGUAUAGUAUAGCAGCAUUAUAGCCAUGGACCUGCUUACAAUUGCUUGAUUGGUUUGAAAUGUCACAUGUUGGUGGUUUUAGUGAUGAAAUAUGAGCUUGCCAUGCUAGCAAUCCACACCCCUGCCAUUUAGAGACAAUUAAUUUUACCAACUGGUAUAUGGCACUCUAAAUCUAAAUUCUUACUAUUCA